This 1480-nucleotide long non-coding RNA is filed under the name Equus caballus (horse). RNAcentral describes it as "lncRNA (ENSECAG00000058198.1)". The record is from RNAcentral. Lineage: Eukaryota; Metazoa; Chordata; Mammalia; Perissodactyla; Equidae.
GGCGAGGCUUCUAGAACGCUUGCAUAAAGAGUCUGAGUCCAGAGCAGGAAGUUCACACAGAGAUUUUCAUAUUUGCUGCUAGUCCUUAAAUUCUUCCUGUUAGUGAAAUGCCAGCGAUCUUUUAAAGCUGGGGGAAGGGGGAGGGAAAGCCGCAGAGUGCUUGACCUGAGUGAGAGCCAGGCCACAGCCACACGGAAAAUUACCCCGAGCCGUGUUUACAGGCGACCAGACGGGCAGGGCGUCCCGGACUGUGGACCUGAGGUCAUUAGACCACGUGCUCCCUCCCUGAACAGGGGUACAAGGGCAAAGGCUGGAAGGCCUUUAGAGACACCUCCGUAUCCCCUUAUUUAACAAAUGGGGAAACUGAGGCACACAAUGGAGAGUUGAUGUGCCCUCUCAGUGACCCCCUUACCUUUGCUAACUCAGCUCGGACUCUGGUCUCAGGAUUCUCCCUCCAGAUGCCGGCUCAGCUAUGAAACGGCCCUGAGACCCUGGGCGAGUGACUGAAGGCUGCUCUGAGGCUCGGCUGCUCGUCUGUAACGGGACAGACAGAGGACCUGCCUCGCAGGGCGACUGUGUCAAAGGUCAGCAAAGCCAGCCAUGAGUCAAAGUGGUGAAAACAGAUGGUGCUCAGCCUCUUCUGCCGACAGAGGCAGGAGCGGAGAGCUCAGCCCUGUGCACAGGUGCCGGUGAUUCAGAGGGAGGACGAGGGAGACGCCCGGAUCAAAGGAAAACUCACAGGGGCUUUUGGAUGUAAGUGCCAUCAGGCCAGCUGUGUCUGCCGGCUGGCCAUCGUUGAAGCGGAGAAGCAGGAACUACAAUUCCCAGAACCCUUUCCCCGUGUGGUCCAGGGUUGAAGUUUGCCAGUGAAGGCACUCUGCGGGAUGUGAAGGUGGAAGAGAUAUCAACGCAUAUUCUUUGGAAGUAGAUGCAGCCAGACUCUGAGUGCAUGUUGCUGCCACAGCAUGGCUUGAUGAGGGUGUAAGUUGGUGCCUGGGAUCCAAACCCAUGACCCUGGGCUGCUGAAGCAGAGUGCACGAAACUUCAGCCACUCAGCCACGGGGCCAGCCCUACAAACAAUCUUUGAAUGGCCAGAGGCCUCCUCUCCACCAGGAGUGAGGUGGUAAGGGCAAGAAGGGAAGAAAUGACACUUGGUUAAGGAGCCACUGCUCAGGCGUGUCCACGGCCACCUCCAGUUCUCUUGGGCAGCCUAACAUCGGUCACAGUGGGCCCGCCUUCCUCCCUCUCUUCUGGGACCAGCCCACCCCAUCCCAGCUUCUCUGCCUGAAGCCAGCGGGUCAGUGAGGACGAGUGAGGACCCCAGACCCAGCUUGCCCACCGGUUUGUUAUGGGCUGCAGACUCUGGGUUCAAGGAGGGAAGUCAAAGGACUUUCCUUUUUACCUAACGUGUUUUAUCAGAAGUUUUGCAAGCUGGGGUUAUUGAAUAGUUUCCAGUCAUUAAUAAAGCUAACGUUUUAUU